GACGAACGCUGGCGGCGUGCUUAACACAUGCAAGUCGAACGGAAAGGCCCUGCUUUUGUGGGGUGCUCGAGUGGCGAACGGGUGAGUAACACGUGAGUAUCCUGCCCUUGACUUUGGGAUAACUUCAGGAAACUGGGGCUAAUACCGGAUAGGAGCUCCUGCUCCAUGGUGUGGGUUGGAAAGUUUCGGCGGUUGGGGAUGGACUCGCGGCUUAUCCGCUGGUUUGUGGGGUAGUGGCAUACCAAGGCUUUGGCGGGUAGCCGGCCUGAGAGGGUGACCGGCCACAUUGGGACUGAGAUACGGCCCAGACGCGUACGGGAGGCAGCAGUGGAGAAUAUUGCACAAUGGGGGGAAGCCUGAGACGGCAGUCCCGCGUGCGGGAUGAUGGCCUUCUGGUUGUAAACCGCUUUCGCCUGUGACGAAGCGUGAGUGACGGUAAUGGAUAAAGAAGCACCGGCUAACUACGUG
RNAcentral lists this ribosomal RNA (468 nucleotides) under uncultured bacterium. RNAcentral's name for it is "partial 16S ribosomal RNA". It matches the Rfam family "Bacterial small subunit ribosomal RNA", at positions 28 to 507 of the family's 1533-position model. The record is from RNAcentral.